GCUGGGUGUGGUGGCUCACGCCUGUAAUCCCAGCACUUUGGGAGGCCGAGGCGGGUGGAUCACCUGAGGUCAGGAGUUCGAGACCAGCCUGGCCAACAUGGUGAAAUCCUGUCUCUA
This is an unclassified non-coding RNA of Pongo abelii (Sumatran orangutan), 117 nucleotides long. It matches the Rfam family "Metazoan signal recognition particle RNA". Rfam says of the family: The signal recognition particle (SRP) is a universally conserved ribonucleoprotein. It is involved in the co-translational targeting of proteins to membranes. The eukaryotic SRP consists of a 300-nucleotide 7S RNA and six proteins: SRPs 72, 68, 54, 19, 14, and 9. Lineage: Eukaryota; Metazoa; Chordata; Mammalia; Primates; Hominidae. The record is from Ensembl.